This 426-nucleotide ribosomal RNA is filed under the name uncultured bacterium. RNAcentral's name for it is "bacterial SSU rRNA". It matches the Rfam family "Bacterial small subunit ribosomal RNA", at positions 355 to 773 of the family's 1533-position model. The record is from RNAcentral.
UGGGGAAUUUUGGACAAUGGGGGCAACCCUGAUCCAGCCAUGCCGCGUGGGUGAAGAAGGCCUUCGGGUUGUAAAGCCCUUUCGGUGGAGACGAAACGGUGCGUGCUAACACCACGCACUACUGACGGUACCCACAGCAGAAGCACCGGCCAACUACGUGCCAGCAGCCGCGGUAAUACGUAGGGUGCAGGCGUUAAUCGGAAUUACUGGGCGUAAAGCGUGCGCAGGCGGUUUGCUAAGACAGGUGUGAAAUCCCCGGGCUUAACCUGGGAACUGCGCUUGUAACUGGCAAGCUUGAGUGUGGCAGAGGGGGGUGGAAUUCCACGUGUAGCAGUGAAAUGCGUAGAGAUGUGGAGGAACACCGAUGGCGAAGGCAGCCCCCUGGGUUAACACUGACGCUCAUGCACGAAAGCGUGGGGAGCAAAC